AGUCAAGCUGUUGAUUGAUUUAAUAGUGAUCGCUUUUAUGUGUCUAUCACAAUGGGUGUGCGUGUGUGUGCCGUUGAGGGCAUCCAGGUUUAAUUUUUUGAAUGCAGCGAGCAGAUCAAUAGCAGAACAAAGAGUCGUCUGGAGAACACAGGUGAGUAUCUCCCCUUGACCCCCACCCUCUCCUACCCACCUCCUUGUAGAUGAUCUCAUGGACCGCGUCUUCAGUCCAGACAUAUAAAACACCCUCUGGACGGAUCUCCCCAACCGCUCUCCCCCUCCCCCCUUUUUUUUUCAUCAUUCGUCCUCUUACAUUGCCUAAACUCAUGAAAAACAGUUAAACAGUUGACACUUAUGGAGGGGAGAGGGGGGGGGGUUAAGAAGAGGAAGAUCAUCGAAAGAUCGAGACAUAUGCAAAUUUCCUCUACCACAGUUUUUCUUCUUCACCCAGCCCCCUAUUCAUUGCAACACGUUAAUUGUUUUCGCCCCCCUAUAAUCUAACAUGCAAACACACAUACACAAUGACACACACACACACGCGCGUACACAAAUGCAACUAAGUACUUCGGCAUAUGCUCAGAAAGCCCCUCACAGGACAAGACGCUACAGACAAUAGGAAGCGAACGCCAAGAGAGGAGCAACCUGGGAUAGCCGUGUCAAUCCCUCGCCACAUCUCGACAGGUGCAAGUUAGGUCUGAAGUCUCUACAAGAACAGAAAAAGAGGGGGCACACCAAUCACUUCCGGCAGCGUUUGAAAUUGUCUGCUAAUCUAACGUGAUCGUUCCAUUCGCUCGUGGGUAGAACUUGGCGAGCGAAUGGGUGGAUCAUGCACGCUUGGUAGGCCAGUCAACAGGACCACUUGGUAGGCCAGUCAACAGGACCACUUGGUAGGCCAGUCAACAGGACCACUUGGUAGGCCAGUCAACAGGACCACAAUAACUUGUAGGUGGACCAUGCACGCUUGGUAGGCCAGUCAACAGGACCACUUGGUAGGCCAGUCAACAGGACCACAAUAACUUGUAGGUGGAUCAUGCACGCUUGGUAGGCCAGUCAACAGGACCACUUGGUAGGCCAGUCAACAGGACCACAAUAACUUUUAGGUGGACCAUGCACGCUUGGUAGGCCAGUCAACAGGACCACUUGGUAGGCCAGUCAACAGGACCACUUGGUAGGCCAGUCAACAGGACCACUUAGUAUGCCAGUCAACAGGACCACUUGGUAGGCCAGUCAACAGGACCACAAUAACUUGUAGGUGGACCAUGCACCUAUGGUAGGCCAGUCACCAGGACCACUUGGUAGGCCAGUCAACAGGACCACUUGGUAGGCCAGUCAACAGGACCACUUGGUAGGCCAGUCAACAGGACCACUUGGUAGGCCAGUCAACAUGACCACUUGGUAGGCCAGUCAACAGGACCACUUGGUAGGCAAGUCAACAGGACCACUUGGUAGGCAAGUCAACAGGACCACUUGGUAAGCCAGUCAACAGGACCACUUGGUAAGCCAGUUAACAGGACCACUUGGUAGGCCAGUCAACAGGACCACUUGGUAGGCCAGUCAACAGGACCACUUGGUAGGCCAGUCAACAGGACCACUUGGUAUGCCAGUCAACAGAACCACUUGGAAGGCCAGUCAACAGGACCACUUGGUAGGCCAGUCAACAUGACCACUUGGUAGGCCAGUCAACAGGACCACUUGGUAGGCAAGUCAACAGGACCACUUGGUAGGCAAGUCAACAGGACCACAAUAAAUUGUAUGUGGACCAUGCACGCUUGGUAGGCCAGUCAACACGACCACUUGGUAGGCCAGUCAACAGGACCACUUGGUAGGCAAGUCAACAGGACCACUUGGUAGGCAAGUCAACAGGACCACUUGGUAGGCAAGUCAACAGGACCACUUGGUAGGCCAGUCAACAGGACCACUUGGUAGGCCAGUCAACAGGACCACUUGGUAGACCAGUCAACAGGACCACAAUAACUUGUAGGUGGACCAUGCACGCUUGGUAGGCCAGCCAGCAGGACCACAAUAAAUUGUAGCUGGACCAUGCAAGCUUGGUAGACCAGUCAACAGGACCACAAUAACUUGUAGGUGGACCAUGCAAGCUUGGUAGACCAGUCAACAGGACCACAAUAACUUGUAGGUGGACCAUGCACGCUUUGUAGGCCAAUCAACAGGACCACAAUAAUUUGUAGGUGGACCAUGCACGCUUGGUAAAUAGUCAACAGGACCACAAUAAAUUAUAGGUGGACCAUGCACGCUUGGUAGGCCAGUCAACAGGACCACAAUAAAUUGUAGGUGGACCAUGCACGCUUGAUAGGCCAGUCAACAGGACCACAAUAAUUUGUAGGUGGACCAUGCAGAGUUUAAAGCUAUGGUAGGCCAUUCAAUGAGAUUCCACAUUAAAUCGUGAGUGAUCACCUUAUGCUUGAUAAAUCAACCACCGACACUGCUAAUCAACAAAUUGAAGAUUUUAUUUUAACGUUAUUUGUAUUCUGAUGUUUUCAUUCUCUCUUUCAUUAUCAGUAUAUAGAUGUAUAGAUGUAUGCCUGGUCGUGGGAUAUGCAAACAGAAACAAGAGAAACAAAGCAUGUUUCAUGGUCUCACAACCAGAAAUGUCCAACUUUGUUCAAAAAUUGUUCAUUAGUUUAUCCUAUUUCCCCGCUGUUUUUCAAAUUUUCUUUAAUUAAUGAGCGUUUCAUUAAUGUUAAAUAAGUUUGUUUUACGAGCGUAUCUUGUCUUAUAAGUUUACCUUGUCUUAUUUAGUUUUAGACGUUACGUCUCAGCUCAAAUCUUCUGAAGGGGAGGGCAGUGAGCAGGGUUUGAACUUUGACCAUCGUGACGCCAGUAUACCUCACGACCAGGCAGCUAUCUAUUUAAGGCACCAAAGGCAAGGGGAGUGAACAAUUACUCUUCCCCUCAUCAACCAGCAAUUAUCUCCUCAUGCAUGCAUGAUUACAGAUUGGUGAUAUCUUAUGUUGAUGUAUCUUACAAACAGAUUUGACAUUGUGUUUCAAUAAAAUGAAAUCUUACAA
Molecule: long non-coding RNA, 3026 nt
Organism: Biomphalaria glabrata
Lineage: Eukaryota; Metazoa; Mollusca; Gastropoda; Planorbidae
Exons: 3
Source: RefSeq, a predicted model, not a curated record